CCUCCCCAACUCAACCUCAUCUUCCUCGCCCAACCUAACAUCAUCAUCUCCCAACUCAACGCUCUUCCUCCCCCAACUCAACCUCAUCUUCCUCGCCCAACUCAACACAAUCAUCUCCCAACUCAACCUCAUCUUCCUCCCCAACAUCAUCUUCCUCCCCAACUCAACAUCAUCUUCCUCUUCCAAUUCAUCACGCUCUUCCUCCUCCAACUCAACCUCAUCUUCCUCCCCAACUCAUCAUCAUCUUCCUCUUCCAACCCAACACAAUCAUCUCCCAACUCAACUCUUCCUCCCCAAAAUCAUCUUCCUCCCCCAACCCAACCUCAUCUUCCUCCCCCACUCAAUGUCAUCUUCAUCCCCAACCCAACCUCAUCUUCCUCUUCCAACUCAUCAUCAUCAUCUCCCAACUCAACGCCCUCUUCCUCCCCAACAUCAUCUUCCUCCCCAUCAACCUCAUCUUCCUCCCCAACCUCAUCUUCCUCACCCAACUCAACCUCAUCUUCCUCUUCCAACUCAACAUCAUCUUCAUCCCCAACUCAUCAUCAUCUUCCUCCCCCAACUCAACCUCAUCUUCCUCACCCAACUCAAUGUCAUCAUCUCCCAACUCAACGCCCUCUUCCUCCCCAAUGUCAUCUUCCUCACCCACUCAUCAUCAUCUUCCUCACCCAACUCAACCUCAUCUUCAUCCCCAACUCAACGCUCUUCCUCCCCAACCUCAUCUUCCUCCCCAACUCAACAUCAUCUUCCUCCCCAACCCAACCUCAUCUUCCUCCCCCAAAUCAACCUCAUCUUCCUCCCCAACUCAUCAUCAUCUUCCUCACCCAACCCAACCUCAUCUUCCUCCCCAACCUCAUCUUCCUCACCCAACUCAACCUCAUCUUCCUCUUCCAACUCAACAUCAUCUUCAUCCCCAACUCAUCAUCAUCUUCCUCCCCCAACUCAACCUCAUCUUCCUCACCCAACUCAAUGUCAUCAUCUCCCAACUCAACGCCCUCUUCCUCCCCAAUGUCAUCUNNNNNNNNNNCUUUUAACCAUUUCCACCUUUUUUAACCAUUUCCUAUUUUUUUAA
Molecule: long non-coding RNA, 1069 nt
Filed under: Anas zonorhyncha (Eastern spot-billed duck)
Lineage: Eukaryota; Metazoa; Chordata; Aves; Anseriformes; Anatidae
Description: lncRNA (ENSAZOG00000007823.1)
Source: RNAcentral